UACGGGGGGGGCAAGCGUUGUUCGGAAUUACUGGGCGUAAAGGGCUCGUAGGCGGCCAACUAAGUCAGACGUGAAAUCCCCAGGCUCAACCUGGGAACUGCGUCUGAUACUGGAUGGCUUGAAUCCGGGAGAGGGAUGCAGAAUUCCAGGUGUAGCGGUGAAAUGCGUAGAUAUCUGGAGGAACACCGGUGGCGAAGGCGGCAUCCUGGACCAAUAUUGACGCUGAGGAGCGAAAGCCAGGGGAGCAAACGGG
This 253-nucleotide ribosomal RNA is filed under the name uncultured bacterium. RNAcentral describes it as "partial 16S ribosomal RNA". It matches the Rfam family "Bacterial small subunit ribosomal RNA", at positions 524 to 776 of the family's 1533-position model. The record is from RNAcentral.